RNAcentral lists this ribosomal RNA (668 nucleotides) under uncultured bacterium. RNAcentral's name for it is "bacterial SSU rRNA". It matches the Rfam family "Bacterial small subunit ribosomal RNA", at positions 8 to 666 of the family's 1533-position model. The record is from RNAcentral.
AGAGUUUGAUCCUGGCUCAGAUUGAACGCUGGCGGAAUGCUUUACACAUGCAAGUCGAACGGCAGCACGGGGGCAACCCUGGUGGCGAGUGGCGAACGGGUGAGUAAUACAUCGGAACGUGCCCAUGUCGUGGGGGAUAACGCAGCGAAAGCUACGCUAAUACCGCAUACGAUCUACGGAUGAAAGCGGGGGAUCGCAAGACCUCGCGCGAUUGGAGCGGCCGAUGGCAGAUUAGGUAGUUGGUGGGGUAAAGGCUCACCAAGCCUGCGAUCUGUAGCUGGUCUGAGAGGACGACCAGCCACACUGGGACUGAGACACGGCCCANACUCCUACGGGAGGCAGCAGUGGGGAAUUUUGGACAAUGGGCGCAAGCCUGAUCCAGCCAUUCCGCGUGCAGGAUGAAGGCCCUCGGGUUGUAAACUGCUUUUGUACGGAACGAAACGGCCUUUUCUAAUACAAGAGGCUAAUGACGGUACCGUAAGAAUAAGCACCGGCUAACUACGUGCCAGCAGCCGCGGUAAUACGAAGGGGGCUAGCGUUGUUCGGAAUUACUGGGCGUAAAGCGUGCGCAGGCGGGCUUCUCAAGUCAGGGGUGAAAGCCCANAGCUCAACUCUNGGAAUUGCCUUUUGAGACUGAGANGCUUGAGUUACGGGAGAGGUGAGUGGAA